UGCGGUUAAAAAGCUCGUAGUUGGAUCUCGGCGGGCAGGGGGUGGUUCGCUCUUCAGCGCUACUGCCCCGCUUUGCCCGUGUGAUUGGCGGAGGUUUCGGGGUGCUCUUCGUUGAGUGACUCGGAGCGCCGUCAGGUUUACUUUGAAAAAAUUAGAGUGCUCAAAGCAGGCUUUUCACGCUUGAAUAUUCGUGCAUGGAAUAAUGGAAUAGGAACUCGUUUCUAUUUUGUUGGUUUUCGGAAAUCGAGUUAAUGAUUAACAGGGACAAUUGGGGGCAUUAGUAUUCAGACGACAGAGGUGAAAUUCUUGGACCGUCUGAAGACUGACUACUGCGAAAGCAUUUGCCAAGAGUGUUUACAUUAAUCAAGAACGAAAGUUAGAGGUUCGAAGGCGAUCAGAUACCGCCCUAGUUCUAACCAUAAACGAUGCCAGCUAGCGAUCUGCCGAGUUUUUUUUGUAGGCUCCGCAGGAAGCUUUCGGGAAACCAAAGCUUUUGGGUUCCGGGGGAAGUAUGGUUGCAAAGCUGAAACUUAAAGGAAUUGACGGAAGGGCACCACCAGGAGUGGAGCCUGCGGCUUAAUUUGACUCAACACGGGAAAUCUCACCAGGCCCGGACACUGGAAGGAUUGACAGAUUGAGAGCUCUUUCUCGAUUC
RNAcentral lists this ribosomal RNA (655 nucleotides) under uncultured eukaryote. RNAcentral's name for it is "SSU rRNA". It matches the Rfam family "Eukaryotic small subunit ribosomal RNA", at positions 614 to 1268 of the family's 1831-position model. The record is from RNAcentral.